UUGCUGCUUUGCUGACGAGUGGCUGACGGGUGAGUAAUGUCUGGGAAACUGCCUGAUGGAGGGGGAUAACUACUGGAAACGGUAGCUAAUACCGCAUAACGUCGCAAGACCAAAGAGGGGGACCUUAGGGCCUCUUGCCAUCGGAUGUGCCCAGAUGGGAUUAGCUAGUAGGUGGGGUAACGGCUCACCUAGGCGACGAUCCCUAGCUGGUCUGAGAGGAUGACCAGCCACACUGGAACUGAGACACGGUCCAGACUCCUACGGGAGGCAGCAGUGGGGAAUAUUGCACAAUGGGCGCAAGCCUGAUGCAGCCAUGCCGCGUGUAUGAAGAAGGCCUUCGGGUUGUAAAGUACUUUCAGCGGGGAGGAAGGGAGUAAAGUUAAUACCUUUGCUCAUUGACGUUACCCGCAGAAGAAGCACCGGCUAACUCCGUGCCAGCAGCCGCGGUAAUACGGAGGGUGCAAGCGUUAAUCGGAAUUACUGGGCGUAAAGCGCACGCAGGCGGUUUGUUAAGUCAGAUGUGAAAUCCCCGGGCUC
Molecule: ribosomal RNA, 537 nt
Filed under: Enterobacteriaceae bacterium HGB0080
Lineage: Bacteria; Pseudomonadati; Pseudomonadota; Gammaproteobacteria; Enterobacterales; Enterobacteriaceae
Description: bacterial SSU rRNA
Rfam family: Bacterial small subunit ribosomal RNA
Source: RNAcentral